Molecule: ribosomal RNA, 320 nt
Filed under: uncultured eukaryote
Lineage: Eukaryota
Description: partial 18S ribosomal RNA
Rfam family: Eukaryotic small subunit ribosomal RNA
Source: RNAcentral
UCCCUUAGAUGUUCUGGGCCGCACGCGCGCUACAAUGGUCUUCGCAAACGGAUGCAUUCUCGAAGGAGAAUGCCAAUCUUGGAAUCUAUGCCUUGGUCGGGACAGUUGCUUGCAAUUUUUCGACUCGAACCAGGAAUUCCUUGUAAUCGUGAUUCAUCACAUCACGAUGAAUACGUCCCUGCCCUUUGUACACACCGCCCGUCGCUCCUACCGAUCGAAGAGUUAGGUGAAUUGUUUUGAUCGAUAAGAUUUGACUAUGGUCAACUCUCGUUGUGAAAUUCUGUGAAUCUGACUGUUUAGAGGAAGGAAAAGUCGUAACA